Molecule: long non-coding RNA, 2390 nt
Filed under: Daphnia pulex (common water flea)
Lineage: Eukaryota; Metazoa; Arthropoda; Branchiopoda; Diplostraca; Daphniidae
Description: uncharacterized LOC124208184, transcript variant X2
Source: RNAcentral
AUGCGGUGGUGUAGAGGUUGGGUCAGAAUGACACGUGUUUCGUCAUUAUCAAAGCAGACCCAUCCCCCAUCAACGUCACCUGGCAGAAGGAAAGGCUAGUUUGCAUUUCAAUCGAAGGUUAUGGAGAUCAUUUCGUAAAAGGUGUCAUGCAGUGGUGUAGAGGUUGGGUGAGAACAGUAAGUUUUGCAUCAUUAUCAAGAAGGUAAAAUAACCGCAAGGCUUAAGAGGAGGGGUGAGAAAAAGUCGUAUAAAAGGCGAGAGAAAAGUCGACAGGGAUCAGUCGAGCGAGUAUCUCCGACACGGCAACAGCUGCAUUUCUCUAUUUGCCAUUCAGCUGCAUUCUUCAUCGUAUUAUCAGUUCUCAAUCAUGGUCGUACAUAAGGGCAAGGAAAAGGCGAAAGAAAUCAGUCGAGUGAGCAUCUCGACACGAUAACAGCAACUGCAGUGAACUAUUUGUCACCAACUGUAUUAUUCGUCGAAUUGUUAGUUUAAAUCAUGGCAAAAUAUGGCGUCGUGCUGCAUUUGUGUGUUGCAUCGUUGAUGGCUGGGUCGGCCGCUGGUGUACCGAUGUCUCCUGGGCAUGGCGGAUAACAAAUUGCAACGCCGCCACCUUACUACACAACAUACGACACGACCAGUUGCUACACCGAAGUCCCCGAGUACUGCACCAAGGCUUCAGGUUAUUAUACCACAACUUAUGCUGCCCUGAGCUACUACACCGAAUCCCCGCAGUAUUGUUCUUCCCCGAGCUACACUACCAAAGGGUCGAUUACUACACCGAUGCUCCGAAGUACUGCACAACUACAUAUCAUGGAGAGAAAAAAGGCGAAAGAAAUCAGUCGAGUGGUCAUCUCCGACACGGCAACAGCAGCUGCAGUGCCAAGGCUCAGUAUUACACCACAACUUAUGUUACCCCGAGACUCUGCACCAAAGCGCCUGAGUGCUAUACCGAGGGCACUAAUUUCUACACCACCAAGGCACCGGAGUACUACACUGCAGCAUACGCUGCUCCAGAUUAUUACACCGAGGCUCCCCAACACUACACCACCAAGGCACUGGAGUACUACACCACUACAUAUCAUGUCGUAUGAACGGAGAGAAAAGGUGAAAGAAUUUAGCAGUCGAGUGAGCAUCUCCGUUACAGCAACAGGAACUGCCGUGCACUUUUUGUCAUCAACUUCAUUCUUCGUCCCAUUACAAGUUUAAAUAAUGUAAACUAUGGCGGCGUGCUGCUGUUGGGUGUUGUAUCGUUGAUGGAUGGGUCGACUACUGGUGUACCGAUGUCUUCUGGGUAUGGCGAUUACCAAAGUACAACACUGCUCUGCCGUCUUUCUGGUCUUUCUAUUUAGCAUCAACUUCCGCUGCUCCAGCUUACUACACUGAGGCUCUCAAGUGCUACUCCAUCAAGGCUCCAGUUUAUUACACCACAGCUCAUGUUGCCCUAAGCUACUAAGCAGAAUACCCGAAGUAUUUUUUCCCGAGCUACACUACCAAAGGGUCGAGUACUACGUCGAGGCUCCCAAGUACUACAUUACCAAGGCACCGGAGUACAAAAACGGUCGAUUACUACACAGAAGCAAUCAUAGCAACUAUGGCGUUGUGCUACUGUGAAUGUUUUAACGUUGAUCGCUGGAUGGACCACUGGUGUGCCGAUUUCUCCUGGAUAUGACGGGCAUGAAUAAUCCGUAGCAACCGGUUAUUACACUGGGGCCCCGAAUUACUACACCACCAAGGGUUCAGAGUGUAACAGAAGUAUUUUUCUUCCCAGAACUUCACUACCUUCACCACGCCGAUUACUGAACACCUACUUACCAUUCGAAGGUCUCCAGUGCUACGCCACAAUGACUCCUGACUACUACACCGAAUAUUUAACUUGUCACACCACUGAAGCGCCCAAGUACUGCACUACAACCUACGUUGCUCCAGCUUACACCACGAAGGCAGCGGAGUACUACACCACGAAGGCAGCGGAGUACUACACCACGAAGGCAGCGGAGUACUACACCACGAAGGCAGCGGAGUACUACACCACGAAGGCAGCGGAGUACUACACCACGAAGGCAGCGGAGUACUACACCACCGAGGCACCGGAGUACUACACCAUUAACUACGCUUCCGCAACUUGCUACAUUCUUUUGCUAAUUCUUUUGCAAGAUUUUUGGUAGUAACAUCAAGCCGUCAUCAUUUCGACAGAGGUGACCACUGCCUUAAUCAGUCUGCAUACGGACGUAUUCUUGUGUUUUGACGAUUUCACAAGGAUAGGUUACGAAAGAAACUUGUAACUGUUGAUUUUGAAGUCUUAUAAGUAAAACACAAGUCACAAGUGGAUAAACUUUGUAUAAAUGAAAAACUUGAAGUUGAGAGUAAUACAUUGAAACAAUUCCUAAACA